ACCAUAUCCCAUUUUUUUUCUCUUUUCUUUUAUCUUCUUAUUCUUUCACGUAUUCUUUGUUCUUCUUCUUCUUCUUAUUUUUCUUCCCUUCUUUCUGUUAUUCCGGCGAGAGAUUCAUGAGAUGUGAGUGAGGAGUGAUUAGAGAAUCUAGGUGAGGAAGAUGUAUAGAUUAUGGUGGAGUCGAGGUGUUGUUGAUUAAACUCAAAAGAUGAAACAGAGAAAGGAAUUAGGUUUUCUGUAAUUUGGAUGACGAAUUGAUCUUGAAACUGAUAACUAAGUUUGGGUUUGAAGAACGUGCUUUAAUGAAGAAGAUUAUGGGGUCAAUUUCAGGGUUUGUAUACCAAGAGGAUUUCAAUUAGAGAAAUCAGUUAAUUAGGUUUUCUACAUGUGGUACUAGAAUUCGAUUUGAGUAAGAAUUAAGAAGAUAUAGAAGGAAUUACAAGAUGGGUUUGUCCUUAAUUGGUGUUUAAUGGAAGUUGUGAAGUUGUUCUGAAGUUUGAUUAAGAAGUUGCAAAAUUAGGGUUCCUCAUGUUCUUUCUCAAAAUUAGAAGUUCUUCCCUAUGAUGAAUCCAAAGAAGAUUAAUGGUGGUGCUGGAGUUGAUUGAAGUCAGGAAACCGAGAGAAGGUAAAACAAUUAUAUUUAGAAUUAAAUUCAUCUUGUUCUGAAUUUGAAUUAUAUGUUUUGGUUUCUGAAUUAGGGUUCGAUAAAAUUUGUUAUGAACAUUGAAAUUAUUGUGGUUGUGGAGUUAUAAGUCAUUGGUGGUGUGUUAUUGAACUGAUAGGAAGAUUGUUGAAUUUAAAGGGAUAUAUGUAUGAACUGUGAUUGUGUUAAUAUGAGAUGGAAAUAGAGUUUGUUAUUGUAUUGAGUUGCUGGUGGUAAUGAAGUGGUUUUAAUUGAGAUGAGUUGCAACUGAGGUUAAAUUGCAGGUUGGAAAGAUGUGAUUAGAUAGUAAAACUGUGACUGUAGUGGAGGCGGUUUUGAUAGUAACGAGUUUGAGUAACUAUGGUUAAUAGUUUGAGUUUGAUCUUAACUGAAAUUGCAGGAGGUAUAUGAAUUUAUGAAGGUGUUUCCUGAAUUGAAGUUAGAGAAUGCAUAUGUUGUUAUGGUUGCAAUUAGUGAUAGCUUUAGUAGAAGCUUGUUGUUGUAGGUACUGAGUUUGGAGGAGUUGGUGGUGUUUUCUGUGAAGAUGAGUUGUGUGGCACAGAGGUUGGAAAAGUAAGUGGAAUUGAGGUUGCAAUAUGAUUGAGAAGUUGCUGGGAAUGGUUUGUUUGUGUUUGAAUUGGUGGAAUGAAGAAAGGUUAGAAUGGAUAUAGAGUUGUAAAUUGUGGUUGCUGCAAAAAUCUUAAAGUUGCAAUAAAGAUUCAUUAAAGUUGUCGAAAAGUUACGCGGAAUGGACUACUUGAACGUGUCAUUCAGACACUAGACGAAGAAUAAAUCAUCUGAGUUGUGUGGGGGGUAAAAUGGUCAUUUCACACUCAGACUUAUCAAGGAAGCCGAGUUAUCUUCUAUGAGAACCGAAGGUAUGCCCUUAUCUUUUGGUUGGGUGCCUUUAUGAUGGGCAGGUGGCCUUAUCACCAAGACGUGUCGAGGAGAGACACAUUCUCUUUUCUUAUUUCUCUUUAUUCUUCUUCUCGUCUCUUCUUUCUUCCCAUGUUCUUCAUCUUCUUGUUUUUCUUAUUCUGCUUCUCGCCUCUGGUGAUUCCGAGAAUUAAUUUGAUAGAAUCAAUUAAUGAAGAUUUUUCAGUCCUUAAAGGUGAGGGUGUUCUGGUUAAUUAAGAAGGAGGAGAGUUAGGGGUUUCUGUUUGAGGUGAUGUAGAGAGAAUCGAUUUAAGGUUCCAGAGUUGUUUGAGAUUUUAUUGAAUUGAUCUGUGUUUUGAGUAGCAGAUGGAUGAAGAAUGAGAGGGUUGGUGUUCAAUUGAAGUUUUGAAGUUGAGUUGUUGAAGAAUUAUAGAGUUAGGGUUCUGUGAAGAAGGAGAUAAGAUGGAAUAGGGUUUUGAGUUCCAUUUUAGGCUUGCAUGAGAUUGAGAGGAUGAAAUUGAUGUUCUAAGAUGUCGAAUUGAGAUGGAUUACGAGUGAUUGGAGGGAUUAGAGAGGAUUUACAGAUGCAGUUAUGUCCCGGAGGAUGAAAUUGAAGAGGGUGAUUGAUCAAUUAGGGUAACAGUAGAAUUGCUUUAGUGAGCCAGCAAUUGAGAAGAUGUCACUGCUUGGGUAAGCUUUUAAUUGUUUAACUUUGGUACUUUUGAGUUGAAUUGCUAAGAUUCAUUGAAGUUUUAUGUUUGGGAUUGAAUAUGAGUUUGGGAUGAUUAAGUAACGAAACAGUGAUUGUAUUUAGAAGUGAUAUUGUAGUAAAGAGAUUGUUGAGUUUGAAGUAGAGGUGAUAUUGGUGUGUACAUAGAAGUAUUGGGUUUGUGCUUACUGUAGUUGUUCCAGAUAAUGAUGUUGUUGGUAGUGCAGGUGGUGCUGCUUUUAGAAAUAGGUGAGGUUGUUGUUGCAGUAAGGGUGUUGGUGGAAUAUUAUAUUGGUGGUGUUGAGAUUGAAUGAACUGAACUGGUGGAUUUUUGAUGUGUGAGGUGAGUGUUGAAUUAAGAUAAAGAAGGAAGCAUAGUCAAUUGCUUAAAUGGAACCGUAUGAGGUAAUUACUUUCCGAGAAUCUAACUCAGUUAUUCAGUUUCAUUGUUUGAUUAUGUGUGAUUAUUAGUGGACUCACAGUUGAGUUAGAUGAAAGGGGAUAUAUGUAUGAACUGUAAUUUGUUGGCAGUGGCUGUGUAAGAUACAUGAUUUGGAAAUUAAUGAGCUGUAUAGAAUUGGGUUUGUGGUCAAUGAAGAUUUAGUGAUGCAGUGAAAUUGAGUUGCAGAUUAUUAUGUACUGCAUUCUGGGUUGCAGUUGUUGAAGUCUGAUUGUACUGGUGAACUUCUUGUAAGAAAGUCGUGUAUGGAGUAAGUUUAUAUAAAUGAGUUGUUGCAGAUAUUAGUGAUGGUUCUGUAUGUGAGAUGCGUAUGGAUGAAAGGGUGGAAUUCUUGAGUAUAAUAGUUAGUUAUUAACAACGACCGAUUCGAAGGAUGAACAAGUUGAUCGUGGAUCUCAAGGUAGGCGUGGCUUGUCAUCAAAAGAGUUAGUCUAUUAACAACGAUCGAUUCAAAGGAUGAACCAGUG
This is a long non-coding RNA of Papaver somniferum (opium poppy), 3155 nucleotides long. RefSeq lists it as uncharacterized. The record is from RefSeq and is a predicted model, not a curated record. The transcript has 3 exons. Lineage: Eukaryota; Viridiplantae; Streptophyta; Magnoliopsida; Ranunculales; Papaveraceae.